UGGGGAAUAUUGGGCAAUGGGCGAAAGCCUGACCCAGCAACGCCGCGUGAGGGAAGAAGGUUUUCGGAUUGUAAACCUCUGUCCUUGGGGACGAAGGAAGUGACGGUACCCAAGGAGGAAGCCCCGGCUAACUACGUGCCAGCAGCCGCGGUAAUACGUAGGGGGCGAGCGUUGUCCGGAAUUACUGGGCGUAAAGGGUGCGUAGGCCGUGUCUCAAGUCAGAUGUGAAAUCCCCGGGCUUAACUCGGGUGGUGCAUUUGAAACUGGGGUACUAGAGUGCAGGGGAGGGAAGCGGAAUUCCUAGUGUAGCGGUGAAAUGCGUAGAUAUUAGGAGGAACACCAGUGGCGAAGGCGGCUUUCUGGACUGUAACUGACGCUGAGGCACGAAAGCGUGGGGAGC
This 400-nucleotide ribosomal RNA is filed under the name uncultured bacterium. Its description in RNAcentral is "bacterial SSU rRNA". It matches the Rfam family "Bacterial small subunit ribosomal RNA", at positions 355 to 769 of the family's 1533-position model. The record is from RNAcentral.